RNAcentral lists this ribosomal RNA (253 nucleotides) under uncultured bacterium. RNAcentral's name for it is "partial 16S ribosomal RNA". It matches the Rfam family "Bacterial small subunit ribosomal RNA", at positions 524 to 776 of the family's 1533-position model. The record is from RNAcentral.
UACGUAGGUGGCGAGCGUUAUCCGGAAUUAUUGGGCGUAAAGCGUGCGUAGGUGGUUUGUUAAGUCUGAUGUGAAAGCCCUGGGCUCAACCUGGGAAUGGCAUUGGAUACUGGCGAGCUAGAGUGCGGUAGAGGGUAGUGGAAUUCCCGGUGUAGCAGUGAAAUGCGUAGAGAUUGGGAGGAACAUCUGUGGCGAAGGCGACUACCUGGACCAGCACUGACACUGAGGCGCGAAAGCGUGGGGAGCAAACAGG